RNAcentral lists this ribosomal RNA (250 nucleotides) under uncultured bacterium. Its description in RNAcentral is "partial 16S ribosomal RNA". It matches the Rfam family "Bacterial small subunit ribosomal RNA", at positions 1249 to 1500 of the family's 1533-position model. The record is from RNAcentral.
GCGAAGCCGCGAGGCGGAGCAAAUCACAAAACCCGGUCCCAGUUCAGAUUGCAGGCUGCAACUCGCCUGCAUGAAGGCGGAAUUGCUAGUAAUCGCGGAUCAGCAUGCCGCGGUGAAUACGUUCCCGGGCCUUGUACACACCGCCCGUCACACCAUGAGAGUCGGGAACACCCGAAGUCCGUAGCCUAACAGCAAUGGGGCGCGGCCGAAGGUGGGUUCGAUAAUUGGGGUGAAGUCGUAACAAGGUACC